RNAcentral lists this ribosomal RNA (951 nucleotides) under Triticum aestivum (bread wheat). Its description in RNAcentral is "partial small subunit ribosomal RNA". Lineage: Eukaryota; Viridiplantae; Streptophyta; Magnoliopsida; Poales; Poaceae. The record is from RNAcentral.
AUGAGAAGAGUCACCAGGAGCGCUGCUGCCAAGGGUUUAUCUCCCCUUGCUGGAAUAGUGGCUCGUAGAGCUGGUGGUGCUAGGAAGGAUCCUGCUUUGGAUUCUGGCAAUGUUUUAAGCACGAAGCGUGCGCCCAGAUCUCCUAUAAAGUUUUGCUUCCCUGUGCAGCAGCUUCAGCCUCAUAAUUUCCCUCAUCUGGACAAGGCUCGCAAGUUGUAUAAUAUGUCGCUUAGUGAUGAAGCAUGUGAGAAGAAUACAUUCUCAAUGAUACCUCAGCCCGAUGAAAGCGUAACUAGCUUCACUGGGAAACACAUCUGGGAAGUUUUUGCACCUGGGCAAAUGAUGGAGGGUGAUGUAAUGGACUUCCUCAUUGAUGAUUGGAAGAAAGAUCCCGAGAGAAAUGCUGAUUUUGCGUCCGGAAAAAGGGUAUUGCUGAGUCCAUAUUUCAUCACGAUCAUGAUGCCUCUAUUCAAACCUAUGAUUUUACCAAAGGAUAAGAAAGUGAACCACUUUUCCUUAUAUGUCAUGAAUCGGUACCGAAGUAGCGUUGACAUCCUUGACUCUUUAUCUUAUUUGAAGAACCAUCGUCCUUCAAAGAACACCUAUCAUAAAAACUGCGAGAAGAUUAUUUCUAGAUUGGUCCAAGUAAUGAAGGCUGUGUAUGGUGAUGCUCAGUACAAUGCGAGCAAGCAGCCCAAAUGGGAGCUUUUUGCAAAGAAACCAGCGUUUGUCAAGGUUCCACUUCAAGGGCCGAAUGAAUGUGGCCAUUAUACUCUGAAGUAUGGGGGAUCCUAUGAUGGUGAAAAGAUCGUUGAGAACAUUCAAAAUAAUGACCCUCAUAUUGUCGAUUGGAACGCUGAGGAUCUGUAUAGAGUUGUGUUCAACCGGAAUAACCAGCUUCUGGUGACGGAGCUUCCCAAGGAGGUUCAGGCUUUGGCUCCUGGUGCAUAG